AUUUGGCAAAGUUAGUUUGCGUGAGCGUCAGCAGGGCUCUGUUGAUUUAAUCAGCGCCACACUGUUUACGUUGUUUUUUGCAAGCACUUACAACACUAGUACAACGAGGGAGAUUCUUCAUGUAAAACUGAAUUAAGGACAGAGGGAAUAAUGUCAUGUCGCUGUUGCGUAACUCAAACUUGUGUUAUCAUGAUUUCUAGUAUGUUAUUUUCAUCUUAAUGUUCUAUUAAAGUAAUUUACGUAACGUUCUGUUAAAGUAUUGAAUUUAAAUGUUUGCACAUGAAGGUCAUGUGUGUAAACUACAUAGGUUGAGCUGUGAACUAAUUGAACAAAUUAUGAAACCAGGCAGGUAACGCUCCUGAUCAGUUAAAUAUAUGUGGCUUUAAAACUUACUUCAUAGCUACUUGCGCAAAUCAUCAGCGUUCUACUCUUGGCAAUUGAUACCUAUUUUGUUUGGUCAAUAAAGGAGUAGAAUUACCAAGCAACAACACUAGUUACAGGAGCUGGGUUCAGUUGAACAUCGCACUAUAAUAUAAAGCGGUAACUGUGGUUUGGGAACCGCACAGUGUUUUACGUUAAGUGCAUGGCGGAAGGUGCUGACCUUGUUCAUAAUUUUGUAAACCUGUAGUUAUAGACCUUGUGAUCGUCUUAGAAAACCGAACUUAAAACCAAAUAGGCGCUUAUCUUCUGAAUCAUCGGUGUUCCAGAAAUCAGUGGAUUCUAACAGGUAUCAAUCGAGGCACUGUUAGUACAGACUACAGAGUACAGACGCAUGUAGAAACUACACGACGUUGCGUUGAUUUCAUACAAAGUAAACUUAGAUAGUAUUCAAUAGUAAUAUAGAGUAAUUUUGAGAGAGUUUGGACAAAUCUGAGGUUGGUUAUUAUUAGAGUGUGCGCGCUUUAAAAUUAUUCCUGCGGCCGGGUAAACAUACUGCUUCAUGAAAGUCAUUCGUUACAGAAUCGUAGUAAACUCUGUUUCUAAAUUAUACUGAAGCAAUACUGAACCGCGCGCAUUUAUGGAAACUUUUCAUUGCGGUAUUACUAUACGCACAAAGCGUGGUUGGAAAUGCAAGUGUUCAAAAGAUCGUUAUAAUCAGAUGCGCAAUUUAUUCAGGGUCGUUAACAGACUUAUGUGAACAAUGUUCAGCUGCACGUUCCACUAAUUCAGUUGUGCCUGUAUUUGUGACGCGUACGCCCUGACCAUAUAUCUAGCAGGCUUUCUUCGACCAUGUCCAUGUAUAGGCGGUUGUUGUCCAUAUUUUUAUUGCAAGAAUGAUGUUCCGUCUGUUUCAGUGUUGGCUUUGCGGUAAACUGUUCUUAGCGAGAUUUCUUUGAGGUGCUCAAUGUUAUAGGCAAUGUUCUAGGCAGCCGUCGGUUAUACAAGUUUAUAGCUUCUUGAUGUGCUUCCUCGCCACGGUCAAAUUGUAACUCUUUAAUCACUUUCUCUUUUCGCUUUUGUAAACAAUGAUGUAAAGUGGCAAAUUAAAUAUUCAAUUCAAAUGUAUUUCUAAUAGCAGACUUGGUGGAACAGUGGCGUUACUGUAGAGUAGUACAGCAUUAUCGUAAUAAUGUUUCAGGCGUUCAGCAACUGACCAUAUUGUCAAAUCACAACAUUCUACUGUUACAUCAGUGAGUUCAGUGUGUAUUCACUACGGGACGUGUGUUGAAGCGUACUUUCAGUACAAAAUAAUGAGUGAAGACGGCUGUUUGUGCAACAAUGGUGUCUCUAUUGCCAGCAUUUGUGGAUUUCCUUCAGCGUUGAGACAGUAAAUGUUUGUUAACUUUAUACGAUCCUAGUUGCAAGAUCAGUUUUUGAAAUUCAUUUAAAGUAGGCUAUCACUAUUAGUUUGUUCCUUAUACUAAUGUAUUCUUGUGAUUUUUAUGCAUGUAUCUAUAUAUACCGAAACUGGUAUUUAUGUUGAUCAGUAAAUAUUAUAUUAUACUAAAGAGACCUUCAGAACUGUUGUUUGUUGACACUUGUUGCAGGGGUAUUUAGAGCAAGCAAAUUUAAAUAUGUCUCUGAGUUUACUGGCCUCUGAAUUGAAGAAUACUGAUAUAAUGAAAAGAACGAACAUAAUAUUUAUUCAGGCUCUGACAAAUGCCACUCAUUUGUUGGAUAACUCUGAGUGAUAGAGCUGCGCAUGAAAUAUAUACAUCAUCAUUAUAGCUACCUCACCUAAUGCAUAUUGGUCAGUAUAAUACACGAUAGCCUUAAGUCAAACGCACGUAUAAUCGUCAUUGCCAGAUAGUUAUGCUAAAAAUUAUAUUGGUUGGUAAACAACACAGGUUUUGAUUUUUGGCUGGGGUAUAGUUCGUCCUGAAAAACGUGUGCCUGAGAGCGCGGCUGGUCAGCGGCCCGGAAGAUCGUUCGAGCAUUUCAUUCAAACUAUCUUUAUCGUUGUAUAGAGAAAGCCACGGGCGCAGAAUGCUAAGGGAUUCCACCUACAAUUCGAUGAUCGAAGAAGCAAUUAUACCUAAAGAAGAAACUGCCUGGAACCACGACGAGGUAUGUAAACAUUUCUAAAUAUACGUUGUCCGGUUUACAACUCAUUUCUAGAAGUCACGAACUUCCCAUUUGAAUUGACUCCAUACGUCUCAAUGCUCACUAAAGUUUCUUUUAUACUGAUCUGUAUUUAAAGAAAUUUACUUUCUAUCAUAAUAUUAAGUAACGAGACCAUCUCAAACUGCGCAUUACACAUAUACAUCGCGGUAGCUUUUAUUCUACGCAAAAUAUGCAAAUUUUGUAGCCGACCGUGCGUCGCACUAUACUUGAAUAACAUACAUACAUGCGCUAUGCCACUGUCUACUGUGUGACGCAAGUGCAUGAUCUGUAUUUGAACAUUUUCCAGGUAUUUAGCAUAAUUCGCGGCAGGAAUACCAUAUAGUAGGUAGAAGUACUAGCCACAAUAGCCAAGGACAAGGUCAAUUAGUACAUGUAUGUAUGUAUGGCCGAUUACUUAUGAGAUGCGACUCGAAUUACUACGAUUUAGUAGUUAGCCGUGUUUAGUUUGGACAAUAAUCCUUCUUGAAAUCAAAUCCAUGACUCGUGAUUUUUAUUUGUAUUUGGUUAAGAGCGUUUUACAUAAUUAAACUGAUGCUGCGCAUCGCCUAGUAUGGCAUUUAUGAGUAUCCCACUGGCACAGACUAAACACAAGCCAAUGCAAUGUUUGCGCUCGUAACAAAAUACUGAAAAAUCUUGGAAACAUUUAGAUGGUAAUAUUAAAAAUAUUGACGUCCUAGAAAUCACUGACGUUCUACUUAAUAUUUAAAUCACUACUAUAUGUUGUGAUUGCCUGUUAUAUGCUGAUAACCUCGAUGAGUAAAUAUCCAUGUAUACUUUCAAUAUUGAAUAACUUGUGAACAUGCGCAAUGCGCUGUCGUAUUAUAUUGGCCUGUUCUCUUGCUUCGAUUAUCUGGUCCAUGAACUAAGAAGUACGAGUGUUAAAAUCAUUCGAACUUACUUUAAAAUGGUACCAUUAAUAUGUGAUGGUUUCGGGUUGGUUCCUAGCCUCAGAUUUGCAAACAUACUUUAAAUGUACAUCUUCGUAUUUACGAUGCAAUACGUUUGGGUAAAUAAAUAAAUUUAUAGACAAUUUGUAUAAUUACUGCAUCGUAGCAUUAUAUCAGCAUAGUCUUCAAUACUUUUCUUUAAUUACUAAAAAAAAUAUACUUGGUCACGACUGGGAAUCGAACCCAUGACAUUCGUCGCAUUUUUAGAACGAUGCUCUACUCCAUCCUUAUUGAUGCUCAAUAUUGUUUAUACUCAAUAUUGUGAUGUUAUUUCAGAAAUUGAAAAAAAACACAGAUUGAUAGCUGGCACUAGGAAAGGAAGAGAUUCUGAGUUGCCAAGCAACAUCGUUCCGAACUUGGCUGGUAGCUGAGAAAUUGGCCUUGCCAGCUCAGAUGGUAGAGCAUCGUUCUAGAAAUGCGAAGGUCGCAGGUUCCAUUCACAGCCAUGACCAAGUAGAAUUUUCUAGUGCCUGGUGUAAAUAUACUGAUCAUGUUAGGGCAUGGUUUACACCUAUAUCAAAGUUUAUGUGAUCACAGUAGGAGUUUUACAUGGGUAAGUUUUGAAUGAUUUGUAUGAAAAUUUUGAUGGAAAACCUGAUUGUUUAGUAACACUGAGUCAGUUUCCUCAAACAUUUCUUACAAAUCCUUCAAAACUUACAAUUUACCUAUGCAAAAUUUCUAUACUGUGACCACAGAACUUUGAUAGGUGUAAACCAUGCAUCUAAAGGCCUGUUUACACUUGCAAUUUUUGCUGCGAUUUCAAGUGCGAUUUUCUCCUUCUGAUGCAUGUGAACGAGCAGAUGAGUUACGAAUGUUCUGAGUACAUGUACCCCAACUGAACAUUCAUAACUUAUCCACUCGUUCACAUCCAUCAGAAGAAUAAAAUCGCAUCUAAAAUCGCCGCAAAAACUGCAAAUGCAUAUAGCGGACUUCUCAAACACUAUAAAUCUGUCUUACGAAAUGUUUACAACGCAGAGGAUCCUCGAACUUGGAAAUCUACAUGUUUGUCUUGUAAUACGUCUCGUAAUCUGUCUUGUCCCAUAUCGUGCUGUUCUUAGUUUUUUGGGGAAGAAGCAGAAUUCUCUGUCAGUCUGUGAGCUGUGUUUAAAACCAGCUUCAAUAUUAAACAACGAUUAAAAUAUAAAUAUUCUGCAUGGUAUGAAUUUAGUAAGCUUGAAUAUACAGAAAUUUGUGUAUAAGGAGAAAUUGGAGGGGUAUUCUGCUUUUAACCCCCGAUAUUUUAAAGUUUGUUUGUCUUGUAUUGUGUAAAGGGUCGCUGUAAUUGGCGAAAGCUGUAGCGUAUACCCAGCCAUGUCAAUGUAUGUAUAUCGUUUAUGUUAAUGUAUGUAUAGCAAGUGAUUUUAAGUUGAUUUGGCAAAGCCUAAUAAAUAAAUAAAUAAAUAAAUAAAUGUAAACGAACCUUAAUACAAGCAGCUAUUGUUUUCAUAAUAAUUUAGUAAUAUUAAAAGUAUCACAAUAUUUUGUGAAUCGAAAGGUGUGUGAAAAUUCAAAUACACUAAUUGUGCACGGUACAGGUGGCGUGGUGAUUACCUGCAUUCCAUAUACUGCCAAAAGUGUACAUAAACAACCUAAAACCACAAUAAUUUGUUAUGUUUUCUCUCUUGUAUGUUUGAAGGAAAGUCUGAGCACGCGCUUUGAGCAUAAGACAACACA
Molecule: long non-coding RNA, 5186 nt
Filed under: Paramuricea clavata
Lineage: Eukaryota; Metazoa; Cnidaria; Anthozoa; Malacalcyonacea; Plexauridae
Source: RNAcentral